Molecule: RNA transcript, 1013 nt
Organism: Eurytemora carolleeae
Lineage: Eukaryota; Metazoa; Arthropoda; Copepoda; Calanoida; Temoridae
Exons: 6
Source: RefSeq, a predicted model, not a curated record
CAUCUAACAUUAUCCUAUACUAAUAUCUUUUUCAUUAAGAGCAAAGAAACGGAAGGAUCUGUCCAGUAAGAAUAAUAUUUCUCCACAAACCCAGCAGGAGACAGUUGUUAAGAAUGCUGUCUUCCGCUACUCAAUUCCGCAAACAAUGAAGACGACCAAGGAGAAAAUAUCCACAUUCAAACUCACAUUUGAUGCUGCAGAAGUGAAGAGUCUGUGGCAGUGUUUCCACAAGGAUGGAGAAAAUGAGAUUACAGAGACGGAGAUGCUUAGCUUUCAUUCCGGUCUCAAUAUGCACAUUGAGGCGAGUCUAGGGCUGAAGGUUGACCAACUAGACCUUAAGGAAGUGACACUACCCUUUGUGUCUCUAUCUGCUGGAGGCAAGAUUAGAAUUCAAGAUGAAGCCCAUGUCAAGCUUAUACUUAGACAUUUGACCGUGAUGUGCCAGGGUGAGAUGCUGACAGCAAACCCUUGUUUGGGAGAUGCUGAAGAGACAAUUGAAUAGUUUGGGAGAUGCUACGGAGAUUAUGGAAUAUUUUGGGAGAUGCUGAGGAGACAAUGAAAUAUUUUGGGAGAUGCUGAGGAGACAAUGAAAUAGUUCAAACCUAAAUAAAUAGCCAAUUUAUCUUUAACUAAAUCUUAUCAUUCAAAGCUGUCCCAAGGAUCUAAAAAUGCAAACAUUAUCCAUUAGCUCGAUCUGUUUUUUUUUAUAAAUCACAAAAGAAAUAGAACAAAAACUUUGUAUUUUUAUUAGAAUUAGUUACAUUCAUAUUUUUUGCUAACUAACUUUUUACAGAAAAGAUUUGAACACUUUUUAUUUCGUAUGUUUAAGUAACAAUCAUCUAAUUUAACAUGUCAAUAAGGUUAAUGAAUAAUCAUCAUUUUAAAUAAUUUUUUCUUUCAAAUAAAAAAUAAAUUGGUUUUGUAACGACGUGUAAAUUCGAUAAUAAUGGUUUAAAAUAACUAUUUUUUUGUGAAGUGCUGUGUAACUUUCCUUUAGAACAUUUUAUGUUUAU